This 449-nucleotide ribosomal RNA is filed under the name uncultured bacterium. RNAcentral describes it as "bacterial SSU rRNA". It matches the Rfam family "Bacterial small subunit ribosomal RNA", at positions 355 to 796 of the family's 1533-position model. The record is from RNAcentral.
UGGGGAAUAUUGCGCAAUGGGCGAAAGCCUGACGCAGCGACGCCGCGUGGAGGAUGAAGGUCUUCGGAUUGUAAACUUCUGUUAAGUGGGAAGAAAUACUUACUUCUAAUACAAGUAGGGGAUGACGGUACCAUUAGAGAAAGCACCGGCUAACUUCGUGCCAGCAGCCGCGGUAAUACGAAGGGUGCAAGCGUUAUUCGGAAUCAUUGGGCGUAAAGGGUGUGUAGACGGUAUGUUAAGUCUGUUGUUAAAUGCCCCAGCUCAACUGGGGAUCUGCGGUGGAAACUAACAUGCUAGAGGGUGGAAGAGAGAAGUGGAAUUCUCGGAGUAGCGGUAAAAUGCGUAGAUCUCGAGAGGAACACCAAUGGCGAAGGCAGCUUCUUGGUCCAUACCUGACGUUGAAACACGAAAGCGUGGGGAGCAAACAGGAUUAGAUACCCGCGUAGUCC